Molecule: long non-coding RNA, 1194 nt
Organism: Leptopilina heterotoma
Lineage: Eukaryota; Metazoa; Arthropoda; Insecta; Hymenoptera; Figitidae
Exons: 6
Source: RefSeq, a predicted model, not a curated record
GGAGAACACGCCGGUUCAAACCGAUCUCCCUACUUUUCGCCAUCCCCAUAAUAUGUGCCAGGAGAGGUUCGUGUGGGAUGCUUCAAAGUUAAUACACGCACUCAUACAUUUCUGUUGUCUCACUAUACUGCUUUAAUCCUAAUGGAUUUUCUCGUUCUCGAGACAACUAUUUGCGAGGGAAAAAUAAUGAAGGCGGAAUAGAAAAUUAUAUCUGGAUAACUGCAAUUAGUGAUUAUUGGAGCUGACUCUUUUCAUCAAUUAAAAUGUUCCAGAGAAAAUAAUGUGAAAAUUGAAAAGUUUGUUGAGCACACACAACUUUCCAAAAACGGGUUUUGGUUAAUUUCUUCAAAGAAAAAAAAUGGAGAGCAAUGAAUAUCGAUAAUUUAAAGGAAUUUGGGGAAGAAAAAAAGUGCCAUAAUCGACUGUGUAAUUAAAUUGAUGUUCAUAGAAGAAUAUGAUAUUAUCAGAGUGAGAAAUGGAGUUUGUUGAAAUAAUUUCGCAGAAUGGAAGUUUCAAGCUAUAGAUAAAAUAUCAAAUUAUAUUGAAAGGGCAUAUGGGAGUGAAUUUAUUACAAAAGAUGCAAGGAUUAAAUUAUGUAAUGAAAAACACACUUUCUAUGAGCAGGGAAUCGGAUUGCGAGGAGUGAAAGUGUCGAGGGAUCGAUUUCCGCGUUUGUCGACACCAUUCCGCAUUAUUUUCCAUUGACCCAGUUAAAUUGGCCUUGAUCCUAUUUGGAAUUGAAUUGAAAUUUAUUAAAUUCUGGAGGGAAUUGAAAAUUUGUUAUAUACAACCGGCAACCUAUUGACACUUGUUAAUAAACCCUAAAGACAACUAUCAAACUGACACGAAAGGAUGAAUUUGUCUCUAUAAUCAGUGGUGUUCCUAAGAGUCUCUUUUCGAACUAUUUGGAAAUUCAACUUUUGUAUCAAUUAGAAAGAAUUUCGACUUCAUUUAACGUUUGGACGACCUGGGAAAAAUUUUGAUCCUGCAAAUUCAAUUUCCUUUUGAGUUUAAUUUCUUCUUCAGAAGAAAGAGGAAUUGAAAAAAUAAAAUCUACGAAAAUAAACAAAGGACAAUGCUGAAUUUCGAGGAGAGACUUACAUUUUGUUUCUGGCAGUAGAAAAUAAACGAAAGGCAAUGAGAGGAAAACGACAAUUGCACAGAGAAGGAAUACAUAUUUUUCGCCAAUUAAAU